RNAcentral lists this non-coding RNA (24 nucleotides) under Arabidopsis thaliana (thale cress). Lineage: Eukaryota; Viridiplantae; Streptophyta; Magnoliopsida; Brassicales; Brassicaceae. The record is from RNAcentral.
AGAUGACAUGACGGCUGAUAUACA